Molecule: long non-coding RNA, 620 nt
Organism: Pseudomyrmex gracilis
Lineage: Eukaryota; Metazoa; Arthropoda; Insecta; Hymenoptera; Formicidae
Exons: 4
Source: RefSeq, a predicted model, not a curated record
CGGCGUGCGUUCACAGUGGCAUCUCUGUGCAAUCACUGCAUGGAAAACGCCAUCAUAACCGCACAGAGAGCGCACGUGGUGAAUAACAGCGCCGUGCUCGCACUGCGAUAAAAAUGCACCGUAACCGCACUGCAAUGAAAAUGCGUCGGAACCGCCGUGACAUGUGUUGUGAACGGCCGCGUUCAACACAACAAUUAGUGAGUUGUCUUGUCACCACUUGACGUUAAUUUGUUUUGUUUUAUAAGUAUAAGAGCCAAUUACGUUCGAUUACUACAAAGCAGCAUAUUCUAGUGAACAAAGGUGGUAUGUUUUGGCGAGGUUAUUCUCAUUGUGGCAGUUGACUCAGAUGAUUUUCUAAAUUUUUAAAAUGUCGAUCAGGCGACUUAUGACAAUGUGGUCAAUCACUUCAUCUAUUUAGGUGGUAUAAAUCCCGUGGACUCUGCAAGACAUUAUUUUACAUGUGUCUUUACUAGCAAUAUAGAUAUUUUAUCUCAUGUCACGUGGCUGGGUACAAACAAUUUAUACGCUUUAAAAGGAACUCGCUUCGCCGAAGCAUGUGAAGGUCACGUCUUUAUUAUAUUAUUUUGACUACAUUGUUUUCAUAUCUGAUUAAUGUUAAA